This 253-nucleotide ribosomal RNA is filed under the name uncultured bacterium. RNAcentral describes it as "partial 16S ribosomal RNA". It matches the Rfam family "Bacterial small subunit ribosomal RNA", at positions 524 to 776 of the family's 1533-position model. The record is from RNAcentral.
UACGGGGGGAGCAAGCGUUGUUCGGAUUUACUGGGCGUAAAGGGCGCGUAGGCGGCGUGACAAGUCACUUGUGAAAUCUCCGGGCUUAACCCGGAGCGGCCAAGUGAUACUGUCGUGCUAGAGUGCGGAAGGGGCUACUGGAAUUCUCGGUGUAGCGGUGAAAUGCGUAGAUAUCGAGAGGAACACCUGCGGCGAAGGCGGGUAGCUGGGCCGACACUGACGCUGAUGCGCGAAAGCUAGGGGAGCGAACAGG